UUUUUAUUCCAGUGAUAAUUACAUCAAUAAACCUGAUUCAGCAAUUCUGUUGCUCUCUAAUUCAUUAAUUAAAACAAUUUACUGCUACCACUGUGAUUUUUUCAAGGACAUCAAAACAACAUUCCAAAUCAAAACAGCAGAGAUCAUCAGUUUAUAGAUGUGCAAAGCAUGCUUUGCUUUGCUUUCAUGGCUACCUCACAAUUAAAAUACUUACAACUCAAAUGAAAAAGAACUGUUUUCUCUUUCAGAUUUCCUUCUGUAAGCACAUCCAGAACACAUUUUGUUUAGGGGUUCUAACACCAAUACUUGUAAAGCAAGCUUAACAUGAAUCUAUCAAAAGUUAACUAUUUACAAUUGGAAGAACAAUUAAGAUAUUCAUAUUAUAACGAACUGCAGAGCUACAUUCUUAUAGUCUUUGUUUUCUAAACCCAUUUCCUGUUGAUUAAUUUUUGGGUCAAAUGAUAACAUGCUUGACUUACAGAAAACAAAACCUGAGGGGAGCUGAACAAGUUCUUCUGUUUAUCCUCUCCCACAAAACAGGACUGACAGGAACUACACUGACAAGCUGACCAAAACCAAUUCGAAAACAUUCUGGAUUUUACCUUUAACAUUUUAGAUGAUGAAAUAUUUGCAUGGUCCUCAGCAAUCUCUUUCACUGAAUUCUCCUUGGAGCUACGUUGUCUGAGCUAACUUCUUUCCACUACUUGUGUCAUAUGCAUCUGGGCCUAUUUGCCAUAUGCCCUUAUAAUGGCAGAAAUAUCCAAUCAGAACAGGCUAGGCCAAAUGUUCUGAACUCUCCCAACCGUUAGUGUCUUAUAUAUAAACUUAUGACUGUUCUUGUUAACCUUUCUCUAGACCUCUUGUUGGCUGGCACUUCCCUCAAAACGCAGUGCCAAUGCCAGUCACAGAGACACAGUGUUUCAGUAUCGGCACUGCUGUGUGCAGUAGUACGGCAUAUAAAUGACAUGCUACAAGGUUGUGGAAGAAACCCUCACAUGUUGCAGAAAACAUUGAUGACAAAUGUUUACACUUCACUCUAACAUGGCUACAUGGGAGAAAUGCAGAAAGAUUUUCUGGCCAUGCAGGUCUGGGGACAGGAAAGCCAAUGGCUCAACCCCAGCUGAAAAGCACUGGGGCAGAGGAAGAGCUGUUAGUACCAGUUACCCCAGCUGGGCAUCCACAAGGCCAAGGGACUGGAAGAGAGUUGUGUGUGGGUGCUGACAGAGCUGAUCAAUGUCACUGAGAGUCCUUGGAGUGUCAUGGCAACAGGAGGAGGUUCCUGAUGACCUUUUAGAAGGCAGAAGUCAUUUCAUCUUUAAGAAGUGCAAGGAGUAUAUGAGGAGGUAGAGGCAGUCAGCCUCACCCCAGCUCCCCAAGGACAAUUACUGAACAAAUACUGCUGAAAUUACCCUUCCAGGGAUCCAGGAAAAGAAAAUGCUUGGGAACAGUCAGCAUGGAUUUACCAAAAGCAAAUAAUUCCCAAACAACUCAAAUGCAGCCUAUGAUCUGUCUCAGCAAAGGUAGAGAAGUAGAUGAUUUUUUCUCUUGACUUUAGUAAGGUUUUCAGCAUUGUCUAUCAUAGCAUCCUGAUAGCCAAGCUGGAAAGAGAUUAUUUGGACAGGUGGGUUACAAGUGCAGUGUAUGGAAAACUGUUUUGGAUCACCAGGCAGAAAGAAUAGCACUCAGUAGCUCAAAGACAAACUGUUGGCAUUAGAUAACUGACUUCUUCAGGGGCUAAUACUGGGGCUGCUGCUGCUUUAUGUUUGUAUUACAUUCAACAUCCUGAGAAUGAAUAGGAUGAAAUGUGCCCUCAGCAAGUUUGUGGAUAGUGCCAAGUUGGAGAGAGUGAUCAACACACUGCAGGGCAAGACUGCCUUUCAGAGGGAUCUCAACAGGCUGUGAGAACAGGCAGAAAAAAGCUCAUGCAUUCCAAAGGCAGAAUAACCACAUCUCACAGUUCUAGCUGUGAAUCUGCUGGAAAACAGCUUUGUAGUAAAGGACCUGGGGAGUCAACCUGAACAGGAAGCUGAGCAGGAGUCAGACUGUGCCCUUGCAACAAUAACAACCAACUCCAUGGCAGGCUGCCUUUAGAAUACCAGCCAGCAUACUCUUGGAAGUGAGUAGUUCCCAUUUAUUCAAAACUUGAAGACUACAUCUGGAAUGCAAUAUCCAGUUUGGGGCUUCUCAGUAUUCAUAUGACAAUGACAAACUGGCAUGACUUCAGCAGAGGCUGAGCAAAAUGACCAGAGUGAUGAACCCUACAACCAAAGGAGAAGCUGAGAGCACUGCAUUUGUUCAGCCUGGAAAAGGAGUAUGUCUGGACUGAGAUGAGGUCAAAAGCCUUCCUAAUGUCAAAAGCCCUAUUAUGCGAGAAUCUGCUCCUUUUUCCUUACCAAAGAGGGGCUUACGCUAUCACAGAAGGGAAUCAGUAUCAAGUGUUCAGAGAUCUGAAUGCCAGUAAAUUCACCAUUCUGGAAGGACAAGAAAGUAUUAGAUUCACACGAGUGCUGUCUUCUGAAACUGGCUGAAGUUGGAGAAAGGAAGCAGGCAGGUGCCCAAGCUGCAGAUCAGAAGAUAAUUUUUCUUCACAGAAAUCCUCAGCAACGGACAUUUUGCUAGCAAUAUCUGCUUUUCCAUAGCUGUGAAAAAUGGGUCCAAGUUUCAAAUCAUUUAUCUAACCAAUUCAGAACGACUGCCUGAGGCCAUGAUCUCAUACUCCUUUCUCUAUUUCUUUUUUUUCCCAUUUUAUCACUUCCUAAUAUCCUCCAAUAUUUUUUCUUUUUAAACUAAUCUCAAACGGUGCAAAACUUUCACUAAACAAAAAAAUAAACCUCCACAUUCUAGUGCCAGUGCAAGUGUACACCUAGUUACUCUCUGUGGAUGUGGGCAUGGUCAACUGCGUGGCACACAUUGAUCUGCAAUCUAAUUCUUAGAAACACUGUUAAUACUGCUUCCAAAGGGAUAGAAAGUGGUAAGGGCCUGCUUAAGACUGAAAUGACUAAACUCUUUUCAGUCACAAUUAUUGCCAUAGCCUGAGCUAUGUAACUUUAAAAAAAUAAAUAACUAAAUAAAAGCACAAUCCUGUAAGGAGCUGCACUUUAGGAAUAACUAGCUCAAUUAGCCAUUGUGUUUUGACUAACAUCUUUCUGAUGUCACAUAAAGUCAGAGAGAGCAGUUUAAUGGAUUUAAAAAUAAUUCAAAUAACUAUGCAAAUUCUAAGAUACCUUAAAAAUAUAAUGACCUUUUAAACAAAAUGGUUAUCUGAAACUUAACUGUAACUUCUUGCUCAUAGUCUGCUGGAAUACUAAUCAAUUUUAAAAUACAAGCUUUAGUAAUCUUAGAGCAUACUAAAAAAAAAAGUUACGGGCAUGCGUAUAAAAGACGGACUACUUGAAUUUCAACACCACAGCUCCUAGAACAAUUAAAUACCGCACAUUUCUUGAAGCAGCAUUUUGAAACAGAAAAGCAUGCAUAUCAUGCUGAUCCAUUUACUGAUCCAUUUUUAAGUAAUGCGUUAUUUUUUUGUUGUUUGUUUCCUUUUGUCUCCAAGAGAACUGCAAUGAGAAUGGAGAAGACUAAAAAGCACAUGAGUGCUUGGUGUGCUCCAGUUGAUAUAUCAUGCUGUACAUGACACUGGUAGGCUGCCCAGACUAACAGAUGCAGGACCUCCUUCAGAGAGGCUGACAUGACAAAUCUCCAUGAAUGUGAUGCCAAGAGUCAUAUACGGAACUUGAACAAGCUCAAAGUAAAGUAUUUCCUUUUUAGAAUGAUUUACACUAAGCAAUAAUCCAAACCUCUGAGGUGAAAAUCUAUAUACCUUAAGUUUGGAAAACAGUUCCGAUGUUUUCUAUACAAAAUCUGCUGGCAUUCACUAGAUUAUUAAUGUAUUUAAAACUAUGCAAUGAUCAUUUAAAUCUGUGGUUUUUGUUUAUUUUAUUUAUUUAUUUAUUUUAAAGAAACUUUUAAUCCUGCCAAUAUGAUGGAAAAGCUUAGAUGGCUUCUGUAAGAUCUUAGAAACAAACCUGAGACCUCCAGGAAUUGAAGUUAUUAUCCUCAACAGAUUGUUUCCUCUCAUUCAUUGUAAUUAUGCAGCAGAACCUAGAGUUUUGCCUUUCUGAGGGAGAUGCAGUCUACAACUAUUUCAGAAAAACAAAUAUACCCAACAAUUAAAAGGAAGGAAAGGAAAUUCCAUUUUGAUGCCAAGCUUCUGUUCUUACCUAACUGACGAGAGAGAAAACCUUAAUUUCAUUCAGCAAAUAGUUAAUCCUAAUUCAUAAACCUGUAGGACAAGUGACAAUUCUCAUCAUCAUGAAUGGUAAGGACUAUUUAAAGCCGCAAGGAGUUUUCCUGGGUGAAGAGCAGCAUCACUCAAGAACGAAGGCCUUUCAGGCGAGGAAAGUGAGAUCUGGUGUUGUGCUUUGCUUAUUAUAGCCUGUUGCUCCUUACCUGCUUUAGAGGUAAAUAUAUAACACAGAAAUGUGUAUAUCUGUAAAACAAUUCCAUUGAAAUUCAAUCAGGAAACUUUCAAACACAGCAGAGAAGAGUGGCUGAAAAGCUAGUUUUGGAUUCAAAGCUUUAUUGUAUCUGUCAGAUUUUAACCACAUGCUAGCACAGCUAUUAACCCCAGGCCAUAAAUUAAGAAAACUCGCACCUGCAGUUUGGUCCUUAUAUUAGAGCACCUGUGCCUGCCAGGACAGUAUUGCUUCCCUGCCUUUAAAUUAUAUUUUUGAUUCUACUGUGAGCAUUUAACAUACUGAUUCCAACUACAUUUAUAAAAUCGCUUCUGAGCCAAAACUUCCAGGUUCAGUGGAAACAAAAAUCCUGAGAAAAAUACCAGAGAAGAUUAAGCUUUUCACCACUUCCAUAACAUCUGCAGCGAAACGGGGACCCGUGACACGGUCUGAGUUAUACAUGUUUCAUAGCCCUAGGGGACUUUCAAGCCAUCAAAAUUUCAUUAGCCUCACAGCAGUUCUAGUACCUCCUUAAGCUGGACUGCUGGCCUUCCUAUCAAUAAAUAAAUCAACUGUAAUCCUUUUUAGUGACUAAACUCUUCUUUGAAGUUAUAUCAAACAUCAGACACUCUUUGCAUGAUUUUAACCACUGCAGAGUAGUGCUUUUUCUAACAUAUUCAGCUUUCUCCCACACAAAAUAUAAAACAAAACUCCAGUUUUCCACUGACAGAGGGGAUUUGGUAACAAUAUAUUUUGCCUUUUUAAUUUUUUUAAAAGAAUUAUUAUUAAUUUGAAGUUUAUUAAUGAAGUAUAUCUUAGCUGAAGCGGUGACCUCUAGGAUAAAGUAUAGAUACAGCUCUCUUAAGGAUAUUGUAUGCGUGUGUAUAUACACAUGCAUAAAAAAUCAUUAAGCUAGGGUUUUACAAAAGACUCAAGGCAGUCAGUUUCAGCAUAGACCUUUCUUUUUUUCUAGAUUGCUUUGCAACCAAAGUAUGAAGAGUCAUUCAGCAGAAUCUCCACUGCCAAAAGGAGGUAAGCAUGUGCUCCUAUCUUCCUCCUUCAAAGCCUGCCUCUUCCCUAAAGUAAAUUUUCCAAGCAUGAGACAAAGCUGUUUUGAACAUGGACAGCUGCCUCCUCAGGUAGCAUGCAGCAUUAAUUCCAACACAAGAAGCAAAAUCCCCUUUGAGGUGGAUGUCAUGCACAGGUGUUUUCAGCUAGAACCAGCAACCAAGGCAGGAAAGGCAAUGACUACAACAGCUAUGGUUCUGCAGACUCAAAAUGAAGUUGAAACAAUAAAUAAGUAGGACAAAACAUUAUUGCUUGUAGUUUAAAAUGAAAGCGGUGUCCUUCUUUCUUUCUAAGUAUCACAAUAAAUACUCCCGCUGCCGUUUACCACAAUAUGUUAAAGCUGUUGCCAGAAGAUAGAAAUAAAAUUGCUCCAGCUUUGGUACAGCUGAGCAGUCACAUUUAAUAAAUUAAUAAAAUGAAGCUUAGACAUCUAGGCAAUAGCCUUUGCUCUAAUUUUCAUUUUUACUCAUUUUUCUUUAUUCAUCUUAGAAUCUGUCACAUAGGAAGUCAUGAAGUUAAUAGAACAAGCGUAUUCUACUGAAGCUGAAAAUCUUCUGCAAACAAAAAGAAGUUAAAGAUAAAAUGUUUUCUAACAUUUGUGCACUUAGCAUUUAACAUCACAUCAGGUUCUGUUCAUAACCUCGAGUUGAAGCAAAAGAUUUUGCAGAGCUUUAAAAGUGAAUCAAGUCAAUUGCAUUAACCUCUUUUCAUUUAAAAAGCUAAGCCUUAAUAUACAGUGGUCAUACCCCACAUCCUACAAAGCUGCUGUUUAGAUUUAUUUGCAGAUUUUAAUUGCACAGUAAUCCAGUCCCCUAGGCACAUCAAAGGCCACACGUCCCUCUUCACCACAAUUCCAAUUGCUCUCAUCAGCUAGUAAGUUUAAAGCACGAUCAAAUUUGUUUUCCAAUCACAUGAGUCCUGUUAAUAAGCUAUUCUUUGUGUUCAUUCAUCCGUUCUAAGAUUCUGCAACUUCUCUGAGAUGUCUUAAAAGAGGAGUUUACAAUGAAACCUUUGAUUGCAAGCUGGCCUCGGGGAUCAACUUUAUCACCACUUACUUUGCUGCUUCCCAAAGGGUAACAGGUGAAAUGGCCCAAGAUAAAACAGAGCUAAUCUUUUUUUGUGAUGAAACUCUUCCAAAAUUACAGCCAAAACAUCAAGCCCAAAGCUUUUAUUAGUUAGGACUGAUAGUGAAUAUUGACUUUUCUGGGAAGGGGAGGAAAAAAAAUAAGUAGAUAAAUAAUUCAAGGCCAUUCCUUGAACUUUUAAUGACUUGAAAUGAUUGACUGUUAACCAAAACAGCAAAUAAAACAUUGAUUUAUAUACGUGCAUA
Numida meleagris (helmeted guineafowl) is the source of this 6849-nucleotide long non-coding RNA. RefSeq lists it as uncharacterized. Lineage: Eukaryota; Metazoa; Chordata; Aves; Galliformes; Numididae. The transcript is spliced from 3 exons. The record is from RefSeq and is a predicted model, not a curated record.